This 348-nucleotide unclassified non-coding RNA is filed under the name soil metagenome. Its description in RNAcentral is "partial contains 5.8S ribosomal RNA, internal transcribed spacer 2, and large subunit ribosomal RNA". The stretch from base 1 to 120 matches the Rfam family "5.8S ribosomal RNA", at positions 35 to 154 of the family's 154-position model. The record is from RNAcentral.
GAUGAAGAACGUAGCGAACUGCGAUAAGUAAUGUGAAUUGCAGAAUUCAGUGAAUCAUCGAGUCUUUGAACGCACAUUGCGCCCCCUGGUAUUCCGGGGGGCAUGCCUGUCCGAGCGUCAUUGCCGCCCUCAAGCACGGCUUGUGUGUUGGGCCCCCGCCCCCCGGCUUCGGGGGGCGGGCCCGAAAGGCAGCGGCGGCACCGCGUCCGGUCCUCGAGCGUAUGGGGCUUCGUCACCCGCUCUGUAGGCCCGGCCGGCGCCCGCCGGCGACCCCAAUCAAUCUUUCCAGGUUGACCUCGGAUCAGGUAGGGAUACCCGCUGAACUUAAGCAUAUCAAUAAGCGGAGGA